CAGUCGCCGCGGUAAUACGGAGGGUGCAAGCGUUAAUCGGAAUUACUGGGCGUAAAGCGCACGCAGGCGGUCUGUCAAGUCGGAUGUGAAAUCCCCGGGCUCAACCUGGGAACUGCAUCCGAAACUGGCAGGCUAGAGUCUUGUAGAGGGGGGUAGAAUUCCAGGUGUAGCGGUGAAAUGCGUAGAGAUCUGGAGGAAUACCGGUGGCGAAGGCGGCCCCCUGGACAAAGACUGACGCUCAGGUGCGAAAGCGUGGGGAGCAAACAGGAUUAGAUACCCCAGUAGUCCCUGUCUCUUAUAA
Molecule: ribosomal RNA, 301 nt
Filed under: uncultured bacterium
Lineage: Bacteria
Description: partial 16S ribosomal RNA
Rfam family: Bacterial small subunit ribosomal RNA
Source: RNAcentral